UCCCACAGCUACAACCGGUAAUCCUUGGGAGCUCCGAAAUUUACGAUGAAUCGGAUCUCACGUUGUAUUUCGUGUCAUCUAUAGAGAGCGACUAAUGAAGAUAAAAGGUCUCUCUCGCUAAAACCGCCCGUUUCUCUCUCUAAGGAUAAAGACGACGACAACAAAAAAGCUUCACAGAUGUGGUCAGUGGAUCUAUAUCCAACAACAAUAAACGAUCAUCAUCAUCUGAACAGAAUCAUCUGUCACGGAAGCAAGAGGUCCGAAAAUGGUCGAAAAUGGCGGUGAAUUGGAGAAAUCGACGCCGGAGGAGCAGAGCUGUUUCGACGGCUACGGAAUCCAGGUGCAGAUCAUAUUCGCUUACAAUCGACUAGCAGAUGGGUAAUGCCUUUGUCUACCGCCGGUGCCUGGAUACGUACGUGAUUUAGUUUAGGUUUUGAUUUUUCUGAAUGGGGGGCUGGGCUGUUAGUAUAUUUUUGUUUAGUUAAGAACUUAUUUUAUGUUUAUGGGCCAGUUGAGUUGAGUGCAUCAGUGCAUGUAUCCAGCGGUAUCAGUGCAUGUAUCGACCACUAACCCCUAACAUGCCUUUCCUACACCCCUAACUGUUAGUAUAUUUUGUCUACACCCCUAACCCCCACUAGGAAAGGCAUGUGCAUCAGUGCAUUGCAUGUGUCGGCCACUCAUUCCGACUGUUGAUGUAUCCGACUGUUGAUGUAUGUGAGACUGCGAGAGAUCGGAACUUAUUUUGUUUGCAUUGAAUAGCCUACCGGCUUAUAAAUAAAAAUCAUGAAACUAACUAUUUUUGUAAGUGUUUAUUUAGUUUAGGUAUUGACUUUUAACAUCAGUGGUAAAGAUUGAGGUGAUCCGAUGGGUUAAAAACGACAAUUGUCGGUUCUGUUUUAGUUUUGCUUCUUAUUUCGGUUUUAUAUAGAAUAUUGAUUAACAAGUUUGUGAUGCCUACAAUUGGUUUGAUUUCCAAAUUGAAGCUCCAUGUUACUAAUUUUAAGUAUAAUGGUUAACUCUGCAUAGUGGGCCACCUAAAAUUAGUGUACAGAUUGGUUAUUAAUCAAUGGUGGAUGCUUAAAGUUUGGUUGAAAUUUCAGGUCAAGUGUAGUCAUCAAAGUCAACCUGAUACUGUUGAGUUAUAGCUGGUUUAGAGUUGUGUCCAGCCCCUAAUUGUGUUGCAAAUCACAUAUGCCUUCAGUCUUAUUGACAUGUAAAAUUAAUGGCAAAACAGUACUUCCAACUCCAGUUUUUGUUAGAAGUUAGAUGCUCUUUUGGACCUUUUUUUACUGACAGGUUAGAGGCUGCUUUGGGUGUAAAUUAUGAGUGUCGAUUUACAGGAUAUCUAAGACUGUUUUCAGACAUUAUUAAGCUACACAAAUCACAUGCUAAUUUUGAUCUUGCAGUAAGAAAGAGAGAUUGUAAUGAAGGUCCUCGAGACUAUAGCUGAUGUUGGCCUAGAUACCCAACUAUCGGAUAAGGAGAUCGCAACUCGCUUGUCGAUCUCGAUGAUGAUGCCACGAAUAAACUUGACCGGAUGCUUCAGUUACUAGCGAGCUAUUCAGUUGUGUCACGUACACCCAAGGGGACUGUAAAUCUAAGCCGGCUAGAGUGUAUCGACCUGGGAUUACUUCCAAGAUGAGGCCAAUCAGGUAUUAGUUGGUCACAGGAUAGCAAGUGUACUUAUGUAUAUAUCUAAUGUUGAGAAAGGUGGCGAGACGAUAUUCCCACAAUUAGAGAUGAAAGAAUCUUAACUCAAAACCGACGAAGACUCAUACACGUGCACAUCACGUGAGGGUGUGCAAAAAUGGUUAUGCUGGUAUGUCAAUUCACCAAGGUAGAAACUAUGUACUCUUAUUAGGAAUGAGCGUGGUACAGGUACCGUAUCGAAACGGUACCGAAAUUCAUCAAAACUGGGUCCCGGUACCGAAAUAUUCGGCAUGGUCCGGUAUGGAACCGGUAUUUGAAGGUAAAAUUCGGUAUUUUACCAGUACCGUACGACCGAUACCGAAAAUGCCAAAAGCGAGCAUUUGGUACCGUUACCCAGUACCAAAUGCUCAUCCCUAACUCUUAUAGUGUUAAAAGAAAAUUACAUUAUACUAUAUGUUAGUAUAUGAAUGAAAGGAACAGUGAACUUCACAGAGAUAUGUGAUUUACGCCAUUACUUGACGUGUUGCUGGGUGUUGAAGACAUGUGUUAUAGUGUUUUUUCCCUUUUUUAAGCUGCCACAUAUAUGCAAUUCAUACAUAGUUCUCUAAAGCAAUUGUUGUUAAAUUAUAAUCUCGCCGGUGAUUCCGGGUGGAAGCGGAUCUAAUGCAAUAGCUUAAUCUCGCCAGCGAUCCCGACCAGAAAGUGGGUUACAACCGGAUCUUUGAAGUGCCUGAAGUUUGCUACAUUAUCUAUUAAUUGAAUUGAGCCAUUGAGGGAAGGUGCGGAAGGAGGGAGAAUGCAUACGGAAGUAUAGAAAGGUAGAGGUUGGAAGGUAAGGUGUUUGUUUUUUAAAAGUGUUUGAAGCUGUUUGUUGAAAUGUCUAGGGGCAAGGAUACAAGGAAUAAACGGUGGUGAGGGUGUUAGGAUACGUCGUUAUAGGAAGACUCAUGAACUAUUUUGAUGGGUCUUUGUAUCAGUAUGUUUGUGUCAACUUCUAAGUUUUGAUUCACUGUUGUAAUUAGUCUGAGACACAAGGACAAAUACUUUUAUCCUUUGUUUUAAAGAUUAACACUUCUUGCAAACAGGGAUGCUUCAAGGCCCACAACACCGUCAACAACUGCAGGAUAUGUUUGGGUGGAAGAUGGAGAAAAGGUUCACCUCGCCUCUUUUCAACCCGAGGGCAUAACUCUAUAGUGGCAUCAGUAGCUUGAAUAAACCAAAGGCCUGAUAUAAGUCGGGCCACAUGUGUUCUAAAUUACAACUAAGGAUGAUUAUCCGUUCCGUAGACGAUUCCAUUCUUCACCUUGAGGACAAGGUGACUUCAACCGGGGUGGAAUGAUAUGUGUGGGGUCAGACUUACGGGUCGGCCAUCGUGGGAAUUGGAUUGCAAGAUGGCACGUGGGUUAGUUAGAUUCAUUUGAUGUCUCGUUAUUUUUAGUUAUGAGUGGCUAGAAUAAUAAAGGGGUUGUAGGAUACCCACGUAUGAGUUUAUUUGUUUGCUUUGCAUAUAAUUCGUCAGUUAGUUCCCUUUCUUUAUAAGGGCCACGUUCCUUUAAUUAAUGUAUGCAGAAGAUAUGUUUUAGUCUAACUCCUUUCUCUUAAGCUUCUCGUCCAUAUUCUUAGCCGUCUGUUCUGCUUGGUACAUACCAUUUGGUAUCGUGAUACAUGGAUGGAUACUGAGGAUGAAUUCUACCGAGUAAUGAAUGAAAAGUUG
Molecule: long non-coding RNA, 3364 nt
Organism: Helianthus annuus (common sunflower)
Lineage: Eukaryota; Viridiplantae; Streptophyta; Magnoliopsida; Asterales; Asteraceae
Exons: 6
Source: RefSeq, a predicted model, not a curated record